AACGAACGCUGGCGGCAUGCCUAACACAUGCAAGUCGAACGAGACCUUCCGGUCUAGUGGCGCACGGGUGCGUAACGCGUGGGAACCUGCCCUUAGGUUCGGAAUAACUCCCCGAAAGGUGUGCUAAUACCGGGUAAUGUCCUCGGACCAAAGAUUUCUCGCCUUUGGGUGGGGCCGCGUUGGGUUAGCUUGUUGGUAGGGUAAAAGCCUGCCAAGGCGUCGAUCCAGAGCUGGUCGGUGAGGAUGAUCAGCCAGACUGGGAUUGAGACACGGCCCCGACUGCUACGGGCAGCAGCAGUGGGGACUAUAGGACAAGGGGCGAAAGCCUGCUCCAGCAAGGCCGGGUGGGUGGCGAACGGCUUAGGGUUCUAAAGCUGUAUGAGCCGGGAUGAUAGUGACAGUACCGGGAGAAGAAGCACCGGCUAACUCCGUG
Molecule: ribosomal RNA, 433 nt
Filed under: uncultured bacterium
Lineage: Bacteria
Description: partial 16S ribosomal RNA
Rfam family: Bacterial small subunit ribosomal RNA
Source: RNAcentral